RNAcentral lists this long non-coding RNA (2906 nucleotides) under Gallus gallus (chicken). Lineage: Eukaryota; Metazoa; Chordata; Aves; Galliformes; Phasianidae. The record is from RNAcentral.
UAGGUACUGAAAGGAUAUAGCUCUUCCUACACAACUAUUUGCUGAAAACUGUGGAUUCUUACAAGUCUGAUCCUUGUUCCAUAAAGAAACGAUGGCAGAAUAAUGGAAUUUUCUCUGGAACAAAUCUUUUUUCUUCUGCUCCACAGUAAGCAAGAGGUUGGUUCCAAACAUUACUGGUUUUCCUCAGAAAUCUGAUAAGUAUUACUUGCAAUUAAUCUUGUUACUUUAAUUACAUCUUUGAUGUGACUAAUGAUGCUGUAAAAGUAAUUAUAUCAUUUAAUUGUGAUUCUCUAUUUUUUUGCAAUAAGCCAAAGCAAGCCCACAUUCAAAGAGGUGUUCUGCAUAGCUUGAUAAAAAUGGUUUUCUCUAAGUGCAUUUGAAAGCUCUGUAUCUGCUAUAGCCAGGUUAAGUAAAAGUGAAAAAUAUAAUUUUAUAUGUAACAGGAGAAUGGCUUCCAAAGGAAAAUAAGUGAGUGAACAACUUUAACAUAAAGCAACUCAUGCAUUCUUUAUCUAAUUUCCUAUAAAUUUUGAACAAAAAGCACAUUGAAACAUCACUCUGUUUCCAUGUUAGACUAGGUUCAUAAUGCACUCUCUCGUUUUAUUGUGGCAUAUUCUUUUGCAUAAAUAAGAUACUUUUGAAGCCCUGGGAUUUUCACACCUCUGUUUCAUUUUCAAAUGUAGACUUUGAAGCACAAAAGGUUUUAGCUUAAGUUGUGUACCUCAAAUACUUUUGGUUGACUUUUAUAUUUGCUGAAUUUUUUCACAGGAAGCUUCAGCUUGUUUUACAAUUAAAGGCUUAAAUCAUAUUUAUUGUAGCUCUGUAAAAUAUUUCUGCCUAAAUAUUACAUAAGUUUAGUUUCUGUAUUAGGCUGGGAAUUUACCUGAUACUCAGUAUCUAUGUGAAUCCUUCAACAUAAUCAAACAUAACUCAAUGUUCAACACUUUUCAUUCUCCUCAAUAACCACAGACAAGGAAACAUCUCCUGUGGACUGUCCCAGGAUAAAUACUAAGAUCGAGCUUCAGUGCUGGAAGCCAAGACUUGGUAGUCAUACAUUGCAAUAUUUGUAUUCCUACAUAAUCAAUGCUCUGUCUUGUCUCAGUUUUUGACUUCAGGUAAACUACGUGUCUGGAUCAGUCUGGAAGCUUUUCGCAAUGGCACUUGAGCUAUAAACUAUGGUACUAACCAAGCAGCUUUGAUUCUGUUGUGUUUAAUCAUUGCAGAAAAAAAGAAGCACGGGGAAGCCUUUUUUGUAUGUGUUAAAUGUUACAGUGUGUUGGUAGUGUUCAGUUCUUCUUUAUACUAAAUUUUCCCUUUUUAAAAAAUAAAAUAUGGUUUUAAUUGCCUAUUCACAAGAGACUUAUGUGAAGAAAUAUUGAAAUAUGGUAGGAUAACUUCAUACAACUUCAUGCUUUCUCUUCCUCUGCAUAAGAUAACAUGCUGAACAUGAAGCAUACCAGAUAAAGCAUAGUUUCAGUAUAGGUAACUUUUGAGAGAAUGUUGCUUUUUUUCUAAGAGACAUAACUAAGUAGAACUUUUGUUUGAUUCCUGACCUAAAAUUGAGGAAGUAUUACUUUAGAAGAAGUUCCUAAGAACUGGCAUAUCUUUUGCAUUUUCACAGUAGCUGUUUUGUCAUCUUGUACUCUAAAUUGUCUGAAAUAUAAUCAGACAAGUUAGUUUUUGAAACUGCAAUCACCAGUGAGAUACUUUAGCUAAUGACUGUGUAGUUAGAAAUUUUGGAGUACUUUAUCCUGUCUGUUUCAUCUGGAAAUGCUGAGAACUUGGUGGGCUUCCUCUUCACUUUGGUAUAUGAAGAUUGUCACAUGAGAUAGGGGGGGGUGUAAGAACUAUUCAUCCAAAUUGGUGAAUAGACUUCAGUUUUACUGGAGCUUAAUUUCAACAAAAUUUGAGACAGAUUAAGUACAAAAUAUGUACCAAAUAUUGCAGGAAUAGUAAUUUUUAUCUAAUAAUUCUUGUAUACUUUGUGUUUGUGUUUUUGUUGUUGUUUUUUUUUUUUUUUUUUUUUGUAUAUGUUAAAAAAUGACCAAGAUUUUUUCUCUGAAGCUAGCAGAAUUAUUUCUUAUGAAUUCUCUCAGGUUCUCUCUCUUAGAUUUUCCAGGAAAUUUCACUUUUUCAAGUUUUUGUUGUUGGUUGAAAUUGUGAUUCCUCUAACAUUAUCAGCAAAGUUUCAGUUUUGUGUAUAUGAUACAUUCUAAUGACAUUUCAGGUUUGGUGCGUAUAUUAAGAUAUCUGCCCUUCUUCUCUAAAGAAGAGAAAAAACAAGAAAAAUGUUUCAGCCUUUCCAAAUACAAAUAUUUUGUCACGCUUUUGUUUCAAUACUACUAAUUUUUAUUUUUAAAUAAUUUUAACUAAAAAUUCUAAAAUACUCAUUUGCAGGAAGCAUCACAUUUUAUUUUUUAUCUUAAGAAAACAAACAAAUUCAUACAGAAAAUUCAGGAAAGCACUGCAAAACUCUUUCUCACUCUGUUUUUUUUUUUUUUUUUCGUAGUGGGAUACUAACUUCAAACCACUGAAAAUCAAUCUAAUUUCUUGUAUUUAAUAUCACAUAGUCUGAGGAUUAUCUGGUUAUGGAUGAUCUCGUGCAUUCAAAACGUUCCUUUUUAUGUGGAAUGAAAGCAUGAGCUCACUCCUUCCUAUGCUUUCCUUUGGGCUUGGCUUCACAGUUGCAAUUGUAUGGAAGACAUGUAGGAAGUAGCUUUCAGUAUGUCCCUCCAACUUUCAGAAUAUAUCUAAUUGUUCUGAUAGAGGUGAGCCUGUAAUCCUCAGGAUUUUAUUCUCGUGUGAGCACUGCCUUCCUUCCCCAGUCCUCCUCACAUUUAACAAUUUGAUAUUCACCAAAACAUGUGACUCUUCUUUCACCACUGAGCUUUUGAUAUAUAUCUUUU